Molecule: long non-coding RNA, 648 nt
Organism: Camelina sativa (false flax)
Lineage: Eukaryota; Viridiplantae; Streptophyta; Magnoliopsida; Brassicales; Brassicaceae
Source: RefSeq, a predicted model, not a curated record
UCUAUGCUUGGAAUAAGGAUGAUGAAUUAAUUGCUGAGGGUCGUCUAUGGUCAACUGAACCAAAAGAACUGGUAAACGACAUUCCGUUGGGUCCGAAUGCUGCUAUUGUCACGGUUGAUGGGGUAUUUAAAAAAGAUAGAUAUCUGUGGAGGCCAAAUGCUGAAAUGUUGGUGAUUGGUGAUGCACUUGGUAAGAACAUCCCAUGGCCUAUCCACAAUAUUCAAAUGGCUUAUUGUGUACAGGCAAGCAGGGAUGAAAGGAUGUCAAAAAGUAGAUCACUUGGGAGUGUACAAGCAAGCAAAGAUGAAACGAUUUUCAAAAAAUUGAUCACCUGGGAGUGUAGGUAACAGCUCUAACACCAACACAAAUGAGAAAAAGUGCAUUCUUUUAGAUUCCAAUGGAUCUGAAGAAAAGGUUGCAGAAGGUCGAGUUAUCUCAACAAAUCCAGAAGAUAGAGUUCAUUUUGUCGCUUUGGGUCCCAAUGCAAGUAAGGUUUGGGUUGAUGUUCCUACGAUUGAUGAUGCCCCAAUUUGGAGAGCAAAUUCAGAAAUUAAAAUCAUUGCUGAUGCUUUGGGUAGUAUAAUAGCUUGGCCAAAUGACAAACUUGUUUACAUUUAAAACUCUGGUCGAUCUUGUGUUUUUAUUUUG